AUCUGUGUUUGUAUGUGCCAGUGUGUGUAUCUGUGUGUCAAUGUGUAUCUGUGUGUGUGUGUGUGUUUGUAUGUAUCUAACACACAGAUACACAUAUACACUGGCACAUAGUGGCACACAGAUACACACACUGACACACAGAUACACACACCAUGACACAUAGUGUGUA
Pelobates cultripes (western spadefoot toad) is the source of this 169-nucleotide non-coding RNA. The record is from the annotation of a GenBank genome assembly. Lineage: Eukaryota; Metazoa; Chordata; Amphibia; Anura; Pelobatidae.